UUAGAGUAUUAGUACCAGUUCCCAGUAUUAUUGACGUUCUUUUUGGUACAGGAUGACGCUCAUAUCUUCUGCAGGGAGUCCCAAGUGAAAGAUGAAGUGAGGGGUGUCUUAGAGUUUAUCGAGUAU
This is a non-coding RNA of Prunus avium (sweet cherry), 126 nucleotides long. Lineage: Eukaryota; Viridiplantae; Streptophyta; Magnoliopsida; Rosales; Rosaceae. The record is from RefSeq and is a predicted model, not a curated record.